ACUACUUUGGCAGAUUAGUGCAGUAAAUUUAGGAUUUAUUUAUAUGAGGUUUCUCAUAGGUGGUA
This 65-nucleotide transfer RNA is filed under the name Aradus compar. RNAcentral's name for it is "tRNA-Leu". The record is from RNAcentral. Lineage: Eukaryota; Metazoa; Arthropoda; Insecta; Hemiptera; Aradidae.